CAAUGGAAAGCUUUUUUUUUAUUCAGCUUGAUGUAUAAAAUGUAUGAAAUAGUUUCAAAAUAUUGACCCUUAUGACUGAUUUGGUGGUCCAGGGUCACAUAUGUAUAAAUGGAUAUAUUCAAAUAUGUAAAUUAUUCAUGUAAACAGAUUCAUUAUUAUACAUAAACUGUUUAGAUAGAUAGAUAGAUAGAUAGAUAGAUAGAUAGACUGCAGGAUUUAUACAAUGAGAUAUUGUAUGUAUUUAAUUAAAUAUUGAAAACUGGGGUUAUAAAAUCAACAUUUGCACGUGCAUCCUAGCCUUACCCCCAUGUAAACUUUGACCCUCUAAACUUCGUCUGUUGUUGGAAUCUACCAUUUCACCUAACUACUUGCAUUUUGGCCAUUCAUGUCAGUAAAAUAAAAUAAAAUUAAAAAAUCAAAAAUAAAUUAAAAAAUGAAUAGGGUGAAAAGAGACAAUAGAUGUGAGCACAGGUGAUUUAAGAAUAGCACUUUAUCAUGUCUGCGUCAAUACAAAGUUCACAGCUGCUGCUGAGGUGAGUUGUGAUCGGUGACAUAAUGGACUAGUCGCGUGUUUUUAGAGCGCGUGCUUAGAUCUGCUGGAGUCGAGCGCUCUCGCGUCUCUAUAACGGAGGAGGGAUCGGAUCACAGUAUUGCAGAUCGGACAUAAUGGCUACAAUGCUGAGCAAAGAAUUGCCGGAUAUCGAGCAUGGCCUUGUGAGCUGCUAGGAAGAGAUUUCAGGACCCUGGACAGGGACUCGUUCAGCAGCUCUCAGUAGCUGUUCAACACUGAUGAAGCCAUAAUUAGCAGCUUAAUGAAAAUGUACAGUUCCAAUUUAAGGAUCAUUUCCUCCAGAUAAAUAAGUGUACAGUCACAUAUGUUCCACAAUUUCUUCUGAUGUACAAUGCACAUUGGAGACAACAAGCCCAUUGAUUUGUGAGCAGUGCAUGAUUGAUGGCCUACAUUUUUUUUUUCCUUUUUAGAUUUUAAAGCAGUAAACAUUACUAUUAAAUCAUGUUUUCUUUCUAUCAAGUGCACUUAAGCAAGCAGGUUGCUAAUUUAGUGGUUCAAUUAGUCUAGAAAAACAGAGGCAUUAAAUGUUUUUUUUUAAAGACUUUAUGUCCCUAAAUUAAAAUCAAUUAACCUAAUCAAAACAUAAGACGACAUAAUCAAAUGUUGUAAUUUUGUUCCUUUUGAAACAGUGCUUUAAUUCAGGCCUGUUCGUAACUUCAGCUUCUCUAUAUUUCCAGUAUUAGUUCCUGCUGUCAGUAGCGUUUGCCAUGUUUGACCUAGCAUUAGCACAUCUGAUUUACAUGAAUCCUAUCUGUUAGCCGUCGUCUUUAUGACAUCUUGGUAUGCACAGCACACGCCGGAUGACAUCUCUGCUCAGGUGA
This is a long non-coding RNA of Cyprinus carpio carpio, 1392 nucleotides long. Lineage: Eukaryota; Metazoa; Chordata; Actinopteri; Cypriniformes; Cyprinidae. The record is from Ensembl.